Molecule: ribosomal RNA, 597 nt
Filed under: Bacillus sp. (in: firmicutes)
Lineage: Bacteria; Bacillati; Bacillota; Bacilli; Caryophanales; Bacillaceae
Description: bacterial SSU rRNA
Rfam family: Bacterial small subunit ribosomal RNA
Source: RNAcentral
UGGUGAGUCUUCGCUCCCCUGGAGAUUAGCGGCGGACGGGUGAGUAACACGUGGGUAACCUGCCUGUAAGAUUGGGAUAACUCCGGGAAACCGGAGCUAAUACCGGAUAACAUUUUGAACCGCAUGGUUCAAAAUUGAAAGACGGCUUUUAGUUGUCACUUACAAAUGGACCCGCGGGGCAUUAGUUAGUUGGUGAGGUAACGGUUCACCAAGGCAACGAUGCGAACCCAACCUGAAAGGGGGAUCGGCCACACUGGAACUGAAACACGGCCCAAACUCCUACGGAAGGCAGAAGUAGGAAAUCUUCCGCAAGGGACGAAAGUCUGACGGAGCACCGCCGCGGGAACGAUGAAGGCCUUCGGGUCGUAAAGUUCUGUUGUUAGGAAAAAACAAGUACCAAAGUAACUGUUGGUACCUUGACGGUACCUAACCAAAAAGCCACGGUUAACUACGUGCCAGCAGCCGCGGUAAUACGUAGGUGGCAAGCGUUGUCCGGAAUUAUUGGGCGUAAAGCGCGCGCAGGCGGUUUCUUAAGUCUGAUGUGAAAGCCCACGGCUCACCCGUGAAGGGUCAUUGAAAACUGGGAAACUUGAGUGC